This 515-nucleotide ribosomal RNA is filed under the name uncultured bacterium. RNAcentral's name for it is "partial 16S ribosomal RNA". It matches the Rfam family "Bacterial small subunit ribosomal RNA", at positions 28 to 523 of the family's 1533-position model. The record is from RNAcentral.
GAUGAACGCUGGCGGCGUGCCUAAUACAUGCAAGUCGAGCGAAUGGAUUAAGAGCUUGCUCUUAUGAAGUUAGCGGCGGACGGGCGAGUAACACGUGGGUAACCUGCCCAUAAGACUGGGAUAACUCCGGGAAACCGGGGCUAAUACCGGAUAACAUUUUGAACCGCAUGGUUCGAAAUUGAAAGGCGGCUUCGGCUGUCACUUAUGGAUGGACCCGCGUCGCAUUAGCUAGUUGGUGAGGUAACGGCUCACCAAGGCAACGAUGCGUAGCCGACGUGGGAGGGUCAUCGGCCACACUGGGACGGGGGCACGGCCCAGGCUCCUACAGGAGGCAGCAGUAGGGAAUCUUCCGCAAUGGACGAAAGUCUGACGGAGCAACGCCGCGUGAGUGAUGAAGGCUUUCGGGUCGUAAAACUCUGUUGUUAGGGAAGAACAAGUGCUAGUUGAAUAAGCUGGCACCUUGACGGUACCUAACCAGAAAGCCACGGCUAACUACGUGCCAGCCGCCGCAGUAA